GACGAACGCUGGCGGCGUGCCUAAUACAUGCAAGUAGAACGCUUAGGAGAGGAGCUUGCUCUUCUUGGAUGAGUUGCGAACGGGUGAGUAACGCGUAGGUAACCUGCCUUGUAGCGGGGGAUAACUAUUGGAAACGAUAGCUAAUACCGCAUAACAAUGGAUGACACAUGUCAUUUAUUUGAAAGGGGCAAUUGCUCCACUACAAGAUGGACCUGCGUUGUAUUAGCUAGUAGGUGAGGUAAUGGCUCACCUAGGCGACGAUACAUAGCCGACCUGAGAGGGUGGUCGGCCACACUGGGACUGAGACACGGCCCAGACUCCUACGGGAGGCAGCAGUAGGGAAUCUUCGGCAAUGGGGGCAACCCUGACCGAGCAACGCCGCGGGAGGGAAGAAGGGUUUCGGAUCGUAAAGCUCGGUUGUAAGUCAAGAACGGGUGUGAGAGUGGAAAGUUCACACUGUGACGGUAGCUUAACAGAAAGGGACGGCUAACUACGUG
Molecule: ribosomal RNA, 497 nt
Filed under: uncultured bacterium
Lineage: Bacteria
Description: partial 16S ribosomal RNA
Rfam family: Bacterial small subunit ribosomal RNA
Source: RNAcentral